RNAcentral lists this long non-coding RNA (264 nucleotides) under Homo sapiens (human). Its description in RNAcentral is "HSALNT0326171". Lineage: Eukaryota; Metazoa; Chordata; Mammalia; Primates; Hominidae. The record is from RNAcentral.
UUAAUUUUUUGUAGAGACGGCAUCCUACUGUUUCCCAGUUUAAUUAGGCAUAAAUAAAAAGCCACGUGAAGCCUGGAGAUACUGGACAUAGCAGAUUUGUCAAGCCAUUUUUCCCACCACCAGUGCCUGAGCACGACCUCAUUUGUCUUGGUCAAUGAAGCUCAAGGAAGCAUUGCACUUUGGCUUCCGCUUUAAGUUUUGUAUGUUGAUAUGUAUCCCAUGUCUUCUAACAAUAAAGUGCUAUUUCACUGACAUUAAUCACUG